This 72-nucleotide transfer RNA is filed under the name Bos taurus (domestic cattle). It matches the Rfam family "tRNA". From Rfam's summary of the family: Transfer RNA (tRNA) molecules are approximately 80 nucleotides in length. Their secondary structure includes four short double-helical elements and three loops (D, anti-codon, and T loops). Further hydrogen bonds mediate the characteristic L-shaped molecular structure. tRNAs have two regions of fundamental functional importance: the anti-codon, which is responsible for specific mRNA codon recognition, and the 3' end, to which the tRNAs corresponding amino acid is attached (by aminoacyl-tRNA synthetases). tRNAs cope with the degeneracy of the genetic code in two manners: having more than one tRNA (with a specific anti-codon) for a particular amino acid; and 'wobble' base-pairing, i.e. permitting non-standard base-pairing at the 3rd anti-codon position. Lineage: Eukaryota; Metazoa; Chordata; Mammalia; Artiodactyla; Bovidae. RNAcentral also lists the same sequence under 5 other names. The record is from Rfam by way of RNAcentral.
UCCAUAGUGGUCCGGUGGUUAAGACUCUGCACUUCCAAAGCAGGGGCACAGGUUCAAUUCCUGGUCAGGGAA